Molecule: small nuclear RNA, 141 nt
Filed under: Cebus imitator (Panamanian white-faced capuchin)
Lineage: Eukaryota; Metazoa; Chordata; Mammalia; Primates; Cebidae
Description: U4 spliceosomal RNA (ENSCCAG00000005680.1)
Rfam family: U4 spliceosomal RNA
About the family: U4 small nuclear RNA (U4 snRNA) is a component of the major U2-dependent spliceosome.
Source: Rfam by way of RNAcentral
AGCUUUGCACGGUGGCAGUAUCGUAGCCAAUGAGGUUUAUCCGAGGUGCAAUUAUUGCUAAUUGAAAACUUUUCCCAAUACCCCUCCGUGACGACUUGCAAUAUAGUUGGCAUUGGCAAUUUUUGACAGUCUCUAUAGAGA